This 508-nucleotide ribosomal RNA is filed under the name uncultured Actinomycetes bacterium. Its description in RNAcentral is "bacterial SSU rRNA". It matches the Rfam family "Bacterial small subunit ribosomal RNA", at positions 355 to 871 of the family's 1533-position model. The record is from RNAcentral. Lineage: Bacteria; Bacillati; Actinomycetota; Actinomycetes.
UGGGGAAUAUUGCACAAUGGGCGCAAGCCUGAUGCAGCAACGCCGCGUGCGGGAUGACGGCCUUCGGGUUGUAAACCGCUUUAGUAGGGAAGAAGCCUUCGGGUGACGGUACCUGCAGAAAAAGGACCGGCUAACUACGUGCCAGCAGCCGCGGUAAUACGUAGGGUCCGAGCGUUGUCCGGAAUUAUUGGGCGUAAAGAGCUCGUAGGCGGUUUGUCGCGUCUGCUGUGAAAUCCCGAGGCUCAACCUCGGGCCUGCAGUGGGUACGGGCAGACUUGAGUGGUGUAGGGGAGACUGGAAUUCCUGGUGUAGCGGUGGAAUGCGCAGAUAUCAGGAGGAACACCGAUGGCGAAGGCAGGGUCUCUGGGCACUUACUGACGCUGAGGAGCGAAAGCGUGGGGAGCGAACAGGAUUAGAUACCCUGGUAGUCCACGCCGUAAACGUUGGGCGCUAGAUGUGGGGACCUUUCCACGGUUUCCGUGUCGUAGCUAACGCAUUAAGCGCCCCG